CUAGGGAUCUGCCCAGUCGAGGGGGAUAACCGUUGGAAACGACUGCUAAUACCGCAUACGCCCUACGGGGGAAAGGAGGGGACCUUCGGGCCUUCCGCGAUUGGAUGAACCUAGGUGGGAUUAGCUAGUUGGUGAGGUAAUGGCUCACCAAGGCGACGAUCCCUAGCUGUUCUGAGAGGAUGAUCAGCCACACUGGGACUGAGACACGGCCCAGACUCCUACGGGAGGCAGCAGUGGGGAAUAUUGCACAAUGGGGGAAACCCUGAUGCAGCCAUGCCGCGUGUGUGAAGAAGGCCUUCGGGUUGUAAAGCACUUUCAGUAGGGAGGAAAGGUUGCAGUUUAAUAAACUGUAGCUGUGACGUUACCUACAGAAGAAGGACCGGCUAACUCCGUGCCAGCAGCCGCGGUAAUACGGAGGGUCCGAGCGUUAAUCGGAAUUACUGGGCGUAAAGCGUGCGCAGGCGG
RNAcentral lists this ribosomal RNA (465 nucleotides) under Shewanella putrefaciens. RNAcentral describes it as "bacterial SSU rRNA". It matches the Rfam family "Bacterial small subunit ribosomal RNA", at positions 117 to 578 of the family's 1533-position model. The record is from RNAcentral. Lineage: Bacteria; Pseudomonadati; Pseudomonadota; Gammaproteobacteria; Alteromonadales; Shewanellaceae.